CAGCCGCCACGGGAAUACGAGGGGGGCAAGCGUUGUUCGGAAUUAUUGGGCGUAAAGGGCGCGUAGGCGGUUUGACAAGUCUGAUGUGAAAUCUAUGGGCUCAACCCAUAGCCUGCAUUAGAAACUGUCGGGCUUGAGUAUGGGAGAGGUGAGUGGAAUUUCCGGUGUAGCGGUGAAAUGCGUAGAUAUCGGAAGGAACACCUGUGGCGAAAGCGGCUCACUGGACCAUAACUGACGCUGAGGCGCGAAAGCUAGGGGAGCAAACAGGAUUAGAUACCCGAGUAGUCCCUGUCUCUUAUAA
This 301-nucleotide ribosomal RNA is filed under the name uncultured bacterium. RNAcentral describes it as "partial 16S ribosomal RNA". It matches the Rfam family "Bacterial small subunit ribosomal RNA", at positions 509 to 809 of the family's 1533-position model. The record is from RNAcentral.